AGUACCGUGAGGGAAAGUUGAAAAGAACUCUGAAGAGAGAGUUAAAUAGUACGUGAAACCGAAUAGGCGGAAGCGUAUAGAGUUGUCGAAAGAUGGUAAUACUAAGUUUCAUAGGAGUGUAACAUGGAGUUAGUUGUUUCCGUAAGGUUCAAUUAAUUUUAGUAGUUUGCUUCUAUGGGAUGCACUUGUUGCCAUUGUGCCGAUACUAUUGAUGAAUGCUUUGGAAACUAAAAAAGAGGGCAUAACUUCGGUUGUGUAUCCUAGAUUAGUGGAUAUUGCUAUUUGUUAAUAGAGGUAUGGAGCUAAAGGAAAGUGGAUGUAUUAUAAUACUCAUUGGUUAACGCUUGCGUUAGUCUUUAAGCGUUGUGAUAUAUUCAUCUACUGAUAGUUUCGUUAUAUCGGUAUAAAAGACAAUCACCUAUAUGUCCCGUCUUGAAACACGGACCAAGGAGUUUAUCGUAUGUGCGAGUCAUUGAGUGAUUAAAACUCAUUGGCGUAAUGAAAGUAAAGUAUACAUCAGUAUAUGAUAUGUGAUAAGUAAACUUCGGUGAGCUUAGCAACAUAGUCCAAUCUAAAAUGUUUACAUUUGGGUUGAGAUAGAGCAUAUGCGAUGAGACCCGAAAGAUGGUGAACUAUGCCUGAACAGGAUGAAGUCAGAGGAAACUCUGAUGGAAGUCCGAAGCGGUUCUGACGUGCAAAUCGAUCGUCUGAUUUGGGUAUAGGGGC
This 726-nucleotide ribosomal RNA is filed under the name Panagrolaimus labiatus. RNAcentral's name for it is "partial large subunit ribosomal RNA". It matches the Rfam family "Eukaryotic large subunit ribosomal RNA", at positions 347 to 924 of the family's 3401-position model. Lineage: Eukaryota; Metazoa; Nematoda; Chromadorea; Rhabditida; Panagrolaimidae. The record is from RNAcentral.